GACAGAGGCCUCAAGCGUUAGGCGGAAUCACUGGGCUUAAAGCGUGUGUAGGCGGACUUCUAAGUGCCUUGUGAAAUCCCACGGCUCAACCGUGGAACUGCUGGGCAUACUGGGAGUCUUGGGCCAUUCAGGGGGCAACUGGAACAAGCGGUGGAGCGGUGAAAUGCGUAGAUAUCGCUUGGAACGCCGAAGGUGAAAACAGGUUGCUGGGGGAUGUGCCGACGCUGAGACACGAAAGCCAGGGGAGCAAACGGG
This 255-nucleotide ribosomal RNA is filed under the name uncultured bacterium. RNAcentral's name for it is "partial 16S ribosomal RNA". It matches the Rfam family "Bacterial small subunit ribosomal RNA", at positions 524 to 776 of the family's 1533-position model. The record is from RNAcentral.